UAUAUAUAUAUAUAUAUAUAUAUAUAUAUAUAUAUAUAUAUAUAUAUAUAAACACUUGCUUUUUUUCUUUUGUUUAAUGUCUUAUUUAUUAAUUCACUUUUUUACAUUGUCAGUUUUUGUUUAUUCGUUCAUUUUUCACCCAGCCAUUCCUCUUAUGACCUGCAAACCACCUUGAAACCGGGCAGAAGCCCUCAUCUAUCGCUGUAUUUUCAGUGAUUUUCCCCUCGAGGUGCAUGGGUCAGUACGGCGAGCGUCCUCUGGUGGUCAAACGCAGCACUGUCUGUCUUGAAGUGAAGGGUGACUCCGCGCACUGUAAUCGGAAGUUCCCCUCCAAAACCUUUAGGAAACAACCCUGUCCGAUCUGCACCAAACCUCAUAAUCCUAAAUCCUGGGAAAGUUUUUCAGAGAGUGAGGAGGAGCUGCAUCAGCUGUCAUGGAUGCACAAACAGGAACUGAAGGAUUCACUGGUUGAUAUGUACAAAGCUAAUCCUAAAGUCAAUGAAGAACUGAAACAAAGGCUGCCGUCCCCUGUAAAGCACCAUUGUUCAGAGACCACACCACAACUUGGAUCCUCUUUAGUUGAAACUACCUCAGCUACAUCCCAGUGUCACAGUUUAUCAAAAGCCCUGGAGGAGAAACUCAUACAAGCAUCUAAGACUCCCAAGCCCAGAGAAGGUUUGACGCUCAGACUCCCACCACCCCCGCCCGUGCCAGGCCCAGUUGCAGUUGACUUGAGAAUCAUGGAGGAGGAGAGAUUGUCUCCACAGAGACCCGCAGCACAGCAAAAGCAGGAUAUUACCGAGACAGCCAGCAGUCCGGUCCACACACCUCAAGUCAGCAGGGCAGGGUCUGCCACACUCAGGCAUGCUCAUGCUCACGAGGACCAGGGAAAUUUCAAAGUUAUCAGCGACUCCAAAAAGCAAGUCCCAGUUCUGGAUAAAGAGAAAAACAUUGCUUUUCUCCUGAAGGAGCUGGAUUCCCUUAGAGACCUCAAUAAGAAGCUCCAGGACAGGUUGGCGCUGAAGGAGAAAGAGUUGGAAACCAAGCUGCUGGACUCUCAGCUACAGGAGGCUGAGCAGGAGGUGCGUGCCAGUGAGAGAGCAGCAGGUAGGACACAUGGGUGAAGAAAUGAAUAUAAAUGGUUGGAAAGAAUCAAGAUUAAGUAGACUCAUUUAAUAUGGCAGGAUUUACCUUUUUUGUGUGUUUAAUGUGAGGUGUGACAUUGCAUAGAUCUCUAAAUGCAAAUGUCUGAUCUUCCAACACAGCUGAAGAAUAAACACUUUUAAUUAAUUAGUUAGUACA
This is a long non-coding RNA of Cyprinus carpio (common carp), 1302 nucleotides long. The record is from Ensembl. NCBI's taxonomy places the organism in Eukaryota, Metazoa, Chordata, Actinopteri, Cypriniformes, Cyprinidae.